Molecule: small RNA, 628 nt
Filed under: Pongo abelii (Sumatran orangutan)
Lineage: Eukaryota; Metazoa; Chordata; Mammalia; Primates; Hominidae
Description: retained intron
Source: RNAcentral
CAGGGGCUUAAUAGCCCGGGGAGUCCCAGGGGCCAUCGUGAAUGUCUCCAGCCAGGGCUCCAAGCGGGCAGUAACUAACCAUAGCGUCUACUGUGAGUGCCCCAGCUGUGUCCUCAGCCCCACCCCAGCCCCAGCCUCACCCUCAUCACCCACCCCAGCCCCAGCCAGCUUGGGUUCCUCUUCAUAGGCUCCACCAAGGGUGCCCUGGACAUGCUAACCAAGGUGAUGGCCCUAGAGCUCGGGCCCCACAAGGUGAGCAGGGCUGGGGUACCUCCCCCAACCUAGGCCACCCCACUUGCCCUGCUGACCCCAGCUGUCCCGGUAUAGAUCCGAGUGAAUGCAGUAAACCCCACAGUGGUGAUGACGCCCAUGGGCCAGGCGGCCUGGAGUGACCCCCACAAAGCCAAGACUAUGCUGGACCGAAUCCCACUUGGCAAGUUUGCUGAGGUAGAGCACGUGGUGGACGCCAUCCUCUUUCUGCUGAGUGACCGAAGCGGCAUGACCACGGGUUCCACUAUGCCGGUGGAAGGGGGCUUCUGGGCCUGCUGAGCUCCCUCCACACACCUCAAACCCCAUGCCGUGCCUAUCCUACCCCCAAUCCCUCCAAUAAACCUGAUUCUGCUGCCCA